RNAcentral lists this unclassified non-coding RNA (2286 nucleotides) under Hevea brasiliensis (rubber tree). Lineage: Eukaryota; Viridiplantae; Streptophyta; Magnoliopsida; Malpighiales; Euphorbiaceae. The record is from RNAcentral.
GGAUGCCAAAGGACAGUGCUCUGGGUCAAUAUUAGGGUCAGAGCCCCACCAGUGCAAGUUAAUAUCUUCAAUGCCCACUGUUAAGUAAAUAAGAACUGCCAUGAAUGCAACUCCUGCAUCCAAAGCUGCAGAUAAGACGUAGUUAUACCUCUGCCACCAGCUCUUUCGGUACCUGAAGACGAAAAAGUUGAAGAUGGUUCCCACCAAAAUCCAUGAGUUAAAGUUAAUUGCAGUUGCUGGGGGCAUAGCAGCAGUUGCUCCCAGGAGCACUGGCAGAUUAAUGAGAGGUAUCCAAGAUUGGCUUGGGAAUGCCUUGUGUAAGAGCCAUACUAUACAUGGUCCCAGUAAUCCUCCCAGGAAGAACCAGUUAAGUGCAGAAUAUUCUCCUUGAGAACCAAAAAUCCUCUUAGGUCCUACCAAGCCCCAUAUGACAGAUGCAUCGAAGAAGACACGAUCACCGGGGCAAGUCCAAGGACUGUUCGAGGGAAGGAGGUUAUCUUGACAUAUGUUUUCAAUACUAUUUAGAAGCCACCAUGCAACACAGAGGUUUAUUGUUCCAGCUAUGAUGGUUCCAAUAAACUGAACAAGAAACAUAGAUCUUGGAGGGAUCUUCAUGUAAUGGCCUAGCUUGAAAUCACUAAGAAAGGAAACUGCCUGAGCCAUGCUCAUGUAUCCAAAAGUUUUGAAGCAUACAUUGGCUAUAGGCCUUCCAGGGUAUAUAAUUCCCAUGAUAUACUCAGUGAUGAUAUUAAGCCCAGGCGUCUGUGUACGUUGACGGAGUAUGUAUGUUUAGUUAGUUAACAUAUGAGGAUCUAAUUAAAACAAAAUUAUAGAACUAAAAUUAAUAUGUUACCUGAUUAGUGGUGGCAGUGAUGAUGCUAAUAGGAAGGGUGAAGAUGAAGGCAAGGGCAGCUGCAAAUAGUAGUCCCCACCAUGGCAUUUGAACAUCCUUUUUCAGGAAAAUGCAAAGUGCAAGGGAGAGUACAAUUGUCACAAAAAGAAGCACAUAAAACCACCAAGCAGGUAUGUCCUUGUAGUUCUUCAUUAGUCUAGUGUGAAUAUCUUCCUUUCCUUUAUAAGAGGCCUUGUAUCGUUCAUAUAUUUCCCUUCCAUAGAACAAGGCCACAUGAGUCAAUGUGGCUGCAAUCGUGGCAAAUCCAAAUCCAUAGGUGACAGCAAAGAAGGUGCUCAAAUGGACUCUCCCAUGCUGCUCAUAUUGUGCCAAAUCUAACUCGAACUUGUCAUUAAUGAUGGCUGUAAAGUUGUACCUUGCACCUUGUGCAUCGAACAAGUGAGAAGAAAAUAUUGGAUAUGUUUUGGCAUCAUAUAGAUUUAGACCCCAGUAAGCUACUGGGGUCACCACAUACAUGAUGAAGACAUAUCCUAUGAACACAUUUACAAUGGCAAAAAAGGGACUCAAGAGAGGGCUAAACAAGAAGGAAGCUAUUGUUGACCAGUCCAGUGUCAGGGCACCGAGCCCUAAUCCUCUCAUACCGGACCCUAGUUGCUGGGCAGUGACCGACUUGGGGAAAGCCCAGCAUACCCAUGCCAUGCUUUGUAAUGUUUGGAACAAGUACCCCGGAAACAAGUACCAGAUAAAGCUACAUGUUAGUGCAAUCACAAAGAAUUUCACUCGCGAUACACGGUGCUGGUUUUCUGUGUCUUCUUUUUCAUGCAAUGUCGUGAAAAGUGAGAUCUGAACGAGGGUUCCUGGCCACCACAUGUGAGCCGGCUCCACCACGUAUUUUCUCAAGAGUCCAGCCCAACCAUAUCCUAAAACCUGUGUGCUGAUGAUAAGAAUCCAAGAAGAGAAAAAGGAGAUAUUUCUGCCAUAAAACGCCUUGAUAAUAUUAACAAUCCCUACAGCAUAAGCGGAACCAGCCCCAAAUGCACUCCCAGCAUUAGCAAAUAUAGUUAUCAAAACAUGCUCUUUCACGUUAAAUGGACCUGGGUUAAGGGAGAACUCCCUAGCCCCGAACCCUGGAAUAUUGAACUUCCUUUUAGGAAGAACAGCAGCCAUGAAACGUCCGAUGGGUAGAGUUGCCACCUGGACGGUGAUCUGGGUGAUGAUGAGAGGCUCUGUGCGAUAGGCGAAGAACUGGUUCAAGAAUGAGAGGAGACAGCAGGAGAAAAGCCCCAAGAACCACAUCCUGAAAGUCCAUACUCGGAGAGAAGGGUCGUCAGUGUCCGGUACAGUUAAACGGACUUGCUCUAUUGGAGAGAUCUCAUCCUCGUCUGCGAGUUUCUUGCUUGGUGGAGCUUCAAUCUCCACAGUUCCCAUUCUGU